AUGUCGGUUAUGGUCAAGGCGACCCCGCUCGCAGCAGCGAAAGCCGGCGGUCCGGGAUGCAGAACCGAGCGGGGAGACCCGGCUGCUGCGAGAUGGGGGAACCGAGGGCCGUGGGGGCGGGCGGGGACGGGGAGAGGGGUUGUCUCCAGACCCGGGACACUGAGGCCCGGGCGAUGGAACGGACCCUGCCGGAGGAGAUCGCUGAUUCACUGCUUGGUGAGGGAUCUCCUCCUGCUUGGAAGUGGAGAAAGGACGGCGGCCUUCACUCUCCUCUUCCCAACCACAACCCCUAACGAAAUAAUCCACCCGACGCCCUCUCCCUUCAUCUGCCAUUCCUUCUGCGGCCUGAUCUCCAGCCAGAGCUCGGGCCGAUCAUUCUAUUCCAUCUUCUUUUCCUCUGCCUUCUCGGAACCCGGACCUGGGUUCAGAGAAACGGAGUCCGAUCUGAGUAUAUAUCCCGGCGGAACCUGCACUAUGAGGUCUCCCUGGGAGAGAGGCGCCAAGCCGGGGAUCCGGGGAAGCGGGGACCUGGAGAUCGUGGCUCUGGAAAUGGUCCGCACUAUCAGGACCGGUUGAAGCACAACCUUCCAGGCGAGGAUAUGAACUCAUACCGCUUACCGGCGUUUCUACCGCAAUCUCAACAGCUCUGGUGCACUGCCUUCAUUCUCCCUCUUCCAAAAUGGUCCCUUCCCGAUAAUGAGAAAUAAUAAACCGUUAUCAUAAGAAACGAGUUUGUUUGUUUGUUUGUUUUUUAACUGGGUCCCAUGCCCGAAAGAUCCGGUAAACACUGUGUAACCAGAGGGCGUUUUAGCUGCUGUUUAGGGCUUCUUGAAGUAUUGGGAUGGGAGCUUGGGACCGGAGAAAAUAAAUAUUUCAUCCAUUUUUCUGGGUCCAACCUAGUCCAUGUAAACUAAAAGGAAAUCCACAACUUCGCCGUCCUCUCCCAUCCCUGUUAAGAAGGAGUUUUCGUAAGCAGUGAUGUUCUUUCUCGUUUAUGUUUGUAAAAAGUCAACGUGCCCAAGGAGAUAUUCAUUUCAAAGCUUUAAAACGAUCCGAGUCAGAUUUCGCCUCCCCAAAUCUAUUUUAAAAUGUCUACCCCAACGCCCAAGUCAGCACCUUUCCCUGAGUUUCGUGGAUUGUAAUGUCUUCAUUCCACACAAUACCACCCUCGAGUUUAAACCGAGACUACCAUCGGCGUUCAAACCAACGUCCCGCUCGAGUGAGCAAGGCGCACAGGGUCAGAGCUGGGUCUCACUACAGCCACCAAUACUCGGCCAAUUCUGAACCCCAGCGUCAACAAAGAAUUGGGGCCCGAGUACUGAGCAGCACUGGGUACUGCAAAUUCCGUUAUCUGGGCUCAUAAUGGAGUUAGAGCUGGAGAAACCGAGGCCCUUUUUUAUCUUAGAAAUGUAAAGGAUGGCGAACGGGAAAUGGGAAAAAAAAUAAUUAAGGAGAAGAAAGAAAAAACAUGGAUAGCAUGGAAAGAAUUUAAGAAAGAAACAGGGUAGGAAAUUUGGCCCAGAGCAUAUAAAUAGUGAGUUAUGUCCAUUUAAAUCUAGCUGGACGAAAAGACUGAUUUGGAGAUUACUUGAGCCGAGUUCAAGCCUAGUGCAAGCUCUGGAAAAUACCUAUUUACAAAGAGCGGCUUCCAAGAGCAGUUGCAGAAAUAAAACGUGUUUGCUCCCAAAUGGCCUUUUCUCGAACAAAGAGUCCCAGGAGUACGGACUGGAGACUUUGAACCAGAAAACAGUAUGAAAACUUGACGCUCCAGUACAAUGUGCAAAGCAAAAUAGUCCGCCCUAUAGUAGGUUUAGCAAAGGAUUUAUUUCUCUCUCUCUCUCUCUUUCUAACCGAAAACUCAGAUAGAGAUCAUUUCUAGCCACUGCAUUUGACCAGUAACCCUGCGAAAUGACCUUACUUUCUUAAAACUUUCACCCCGCCUUCAGAAUAAUACAGAAUGUCUUGUAUAACUCGAUAUAGACAUUAAGUAUUCAUUUAGUUGAAUUUUCAACUUUAGAACUGUUUCUUUCUCUUCCCCGCCAAGUGAGGAGCUUCUCGAGUGGAGUAAAUACAAAACACUACCCGUAGCCUCGGAGAAACUCUGUGAAAACACUGAAUUAGACUUGAAUUUUUAAACUUGAGGGCACUUACCUUGACGCAUUUCCUAAAUCACUGCCAAGAAGGAUUUCACUUCACCUCGCAGGAACGCCCUUCCCAGCCUCGCACAUAUGUUUUUUUCUAAAAAAAAAAAAAUAAUCUUUCGAGGACACUUUUUCGAAUGGUAGCGUGGAAAGUGGAAUUAUUUAACGUGCUUCUCCUAGGAUCUGUAGUGAACAAAGGCCAAGAUUCUUGCAGCGGUUCGCUUCUCCCCCGGCGGCAUUGACAUUGAUCUGAAGCACGCCAUCUCGUGGUAGCAGAGAUCCUAAGGAGGAGAGACUAAUGAAUUCAAACUCGGGAUUCUAAUAAAGGGAUGCCGGAGAGGGUGCCCAGACCACUGCUAUUCAGAUCUAAUUUU
Molecule: long non-coding RNA, 2515 nt
Filed under: Ornithorhynchus anatinus (platypus)
Lineage: Eukaryota; Metazoa; Chordata; Mammalia; Monotremata; Ornithorhynchidae
Description: lncRNA (ENSOANG00000040117.1)
Source: RNAcentral